This 404-nucleotide long non-coding RNA is filed under the name Helianthus annuus (common sunflower). RNAcentral's name for it is "hypothetical non coding rna". Lineage: Eukaryota; Viridiplantae; Streptophyta; Magnoliopsida; Asterales; Asteraceae. The record is from RNAcentral.
GUGUUAAAGUGUACAAAAUGCGGGUUUAAGGAAGCUUGAAGGAUGCGAGAGGCUGGCGUGAUCGAGAUGUGUGGAAAUCAAGGAAAAUGGAGGAAUCGGAAGCAAAAGAUCACUCAGAGCCGUAAGCUACGCCACCAGGCCGUAGCUUACGGCCCCUAUAACCCACAAGAAGAAUGCACCGUAAAACAGGAGCACAAGGGCGUAUGGAACAACUGCUCACCGUAAGUGGCCGUAGCUUACGGCGCCGAUCGAGCCAAAAAUGUAACUGACACAUUAAAGAGCAUUUUGAAGACACUUAUUGAUGGCUAAUCAUGCUAGGUCGGUUACCACUUGAGGAAAACGAGUGGGGGACUAUUUAGGAGGCACUUGAGAGUUAAGAAAGACAUCUUUGGCAUAUCUUUUCA